Molecule: long non-coding RNA, 924 nt
Organism: Haliotis rufescens (red abalone)
Lineage: Eukaryota; Metazoa; Mollusca; Gastropoda; Lepetellida; Haliotidae
Exons: 3
Source: RefSeq, a predicted model, not a curated record
CUGCAUAUCACUGUGAAGAACGUUACCUGUCCAGGUAGGUGCGUUGAGUCUCGUCUCCAGCCUCGCCCCCUUUGCACAGAUAUGCCUACCACCCAAGUGCUAUUGGUGACGAUCAGAUUACUUCGCCAUUGAAGACUGUGCAAGAGCACUGGGCCUCCUGUACCAGAUAUACAAUAUUCAUCACAUCAAGAUGCCCCGUGACGAAAAGUGUGGGUUCAGCAGUACACUUUCAAGAUAGAGGCAAUUAACUGUGAGAUCUCACAGAUCAGUCAAGUGUUGAUACAUACAUAAGAUAGGUUAAGACAAUACUUUAUUAUUCCGCUGCAAAUUUGCAAAUGCUCAUUCUCAGCAGGAAAAUAACUUACGAACCUCUAACGAAACUCUAUAUUUUAUAUAGCUAUUAUGAUGUCAGCAAGUGUACCAUCAAUCUACAUGAGUUCAAGUAGUGAAACCUGGACGAGCCAUUCGUAAUUUUCAUUAAACUGGUAUUCGAUUAUACUAUACAAAUCAGCCAUUGCUAGUUUAAUCUUUAAGACAGUGAACCUCGUAUACUUUAUAUACAGUAAAAAAACAUAACAAGAUGAAUAAAACCAGUGGAAGAAUGUACUGGUUUAUGAUAGCUUUAUGGAACAAGAGGAGAAUAUAUGGGGUUGUCCACAUCAGCAAGUAGAAUCGCACAUCGUAAUUAUAUCAGACGUUGUUACAGCCUGAGCACUGAAUAUUGCAAAGGAAGCGAUAGUUUGCAGUUUGCAGUGUUAAUACACACUGAUUUGUGCUUAAAAAGAGAAAGAGAAGAUAAAAGUAAGAAACUUCAUUGUCAUGGUGUGUUGUCUAUGGUAUCCUACCACUAAACUAGGAUUUAAAAUGGAAUAGCCAUAUUGUCUUGGUUAAACCUACUUCUCUAGAAUAAUGUUUGAAUCCAUC